RNAcentral lists this ribosomal RNA (468 nucleotides) under uncultured bacterium. RNAcentral's name for it is "partial 16S ribosomal RNA". It matches the Rfam family "Bacterial small subunit ribosomal RNA", at positions 28 to 507 of the family's 1533-position model. The record is from RNAcentral.
GACGAACGCUGGCGGCGUGCCUAACACAUGCAAGUCGAACGGAAAGGCCCUGCUUUUGUGGGGUGCUCGAGUGGCGAACGGGUGAGUAACACGUGAGUAACCUGCCCUUGACUUUGGGAUAACUUCAGGAAACUGGGGCUAAUACCGGAUAGGAGCUCCUGCUGCAUGGUGGGGGUUGGAAAGUUUCGGCGGUUGGGGCUGGACUCGCGGCUUAUCAGCUUGUUGGUGGGGUAGUGGCUUACCAAGGCUUUGACGGGUAGCCGGCCUGAGAGGGUGACCGGCCACAUUGGGACUGAGAGACGGACCAGACUCCUACGGUAGGCAGCAGUGGGGAAUAUUGCACAAUGGGCGGAAGCCUGAGGCAGCAACGCCGCGUGCGGGAUGACGGCCUGCGGGUUGUAAACCGCUGUCGCCUGUGACGAAGCGGGAGUGACGGUAAUGGGUAAAGAAGCACCGGCUAACUACGUG